GACGAACGCUGGCGGCGUGCUUAACACAUGCAAGUCGAACGGAAAGGCCCUGCUUUUGUGGGGUGCUCGAGUGGCGAACGGGUGAGUAACACGUGAGUCACCUUCCCUUGACUUUGGGAUAACUUCAGGAAACUGGGGCUAAUACCGGCUAGGAGCUCCUGCUGCAUGGUGGGGGUUGGAAAGAUUCGGCGGUCGGGGAUGGAUUCCCGGCUUAUCUGCUUGUUGGGGGGGUAGUGGCUUACCAACGGUUUGACGGGUAUCCGGCCUGGGAGGGUGACCGGCCACCUUGGGACUGAGGGACGGCCCAGACGCCUACGGUGGGCAGCAGGGGGGAAUAUUGCACAAUGGGCGGAAGUCUGAUGCAGCAACGCCGCGGGCGGGAUGACGGCCUGCGGGUUAUAAACCGCUUUAGCCUGUGACGAUGCGUGAGUGACGGUAAUGGGUAAAGAAGCACCGGCUAACUACGUG
RNAcentral lists this ribosomal RNA (468 nucleotides) under uncultured bacterium. RNAcentral describes it as "partial 16S ribosomal RNA". It matches the Rfam family "Bacterial small subunit ribosomal RNA", at positions 28 to 507 of the family's 1533-position model. The record is from RNAcentral.